RNAcentral lists this ribosomal RNA (482 nucleotides) under uncultured bacterium. Its description in RNAcentral is "partial 16S ribosomal RNA". It matches the Rfam family "Bacterial small subunit ribosomal RNA", at positions 30 to 507 of the family's 1533-position model. The record is from RNAcentral.
AUUGAACGCUGGCGGCAUGCCUUACACAUGCAAGUCGAACGGUAACGGGCCUUCGGGUGCCGACGAGUGGCGAACGGGUGAGUAAUACAUCGGAACGUGCCCGAUCGUGGGGGAUAACGAGGCGAAAGCUUUGCUAAUACCGCAUACGAUCUACGGAUGAAAGCAGGGGACCGCAAGGCCUUGCGCGGACGGAGCGGCCGAUGGCAGAUUAGGUAGUUGGUGGGAUAAAAGCUUACCAAGGCGACGAUCUGUAGCUGGUCUGAGAGGAUGAUCAGCCACACUGGAACUGAGACACGGCCCAGACUCCUACGGGAGGCAGCAGUGGGGAAUUUUGGACAAUGGGCGCAAGCCUGAUCCAGCCAUGCCGCGUGCAGGAUGAAGGCCUUCGGGUUGUAAACUGCUUUUGUACGGAACGAAAAGCCUUCUUUUAAUACAGGAGGGUCAUGACGGUACCGUAAGAGUAAGCACCGGCUAACUACGUG